RNAcentral lists this ribosomal RNA (798 nucleotides) under uncultured Glomeromycotina. RNAcentral describes it as "SSU rRNA". It matches the Rfam family "Eukaryotic small subunit ribosomal RNA", at positions 314 to 1114 of the family's 1831-position model. Lineage: Eukaryota; Fungi; Glomeromycota. The record is from RNAcentral.
AUCAACUUUCGAUGGUAGGAUAGAGGCCUACCAUGGUGGUAACGGGUAACGGGGUGUUAGGGCACGACACCGGAGAGGGAGCCUGAGAAACGGCUACCACAUCCAAGGAUGGCAGCAGGCGCGCAAAUUACCCAAUCCCGACACGGGGAGGUAGUGACAAUAAAUAACAAUACGGGGUUCUUUAGGAUCUCGUAAUUGGAAUGAGUACAAUUUAAAUCUCUUAACGAGGAACAAUUGGAGGGCAAGUCUGGUGCCAGCAGCCGCGGUAAUUCCAGCUCCAAUAGCGUAUAUUAAAGUUGUUGCAGUUAAAAAGCUCGUAGUUGAAUUUCGGGGUUAGUAAGUUGGUCAUGCCUUUGGUAUGCACUGGCUUUACUGAUUCCUCCUUCUUGACGAACCGUGAUGUCAUUAAUUUGGUGUUGUGGGAAAUCAGGACUGUUACUUUGAAAAAAUUAGAGUGUUUAAAGCAGGCUAACGCUUGAAUACAUUAGCAUGGAAUAAUGAAAUAGGACGUUAAUCCUAUUUUGUUGGUUUCUAGGAUCGACGUAAUGAUUAAUAGGGAUAGUUGGGGGCAUUAGUAUUCAAUUGUCAGAGGUGAAAUUCUUGGAUUUAUUGAAGACUAACUACUGCGAAAGCAUUUGCCAAGGAUGUUUUCAUUAAUCAAGAACGAAAGUUAGGGGAUCGAAGACGAUCAGAUACCGUCGUAGUCUUAACCAUAAACUAUGCCGACUAGGGAUCGGAUGAUGUUAAUUCUUUAAUGACUCAUUCGGCGCCUUACGGGAAACCAAAGUGUUUGGGUUC